RNAcentral lists this unclassified non-coding RNA (495 nucleotides) under Fusarium redolens. Its description in RNAcentral is "sequence contains ITS1, 5.8S rRNA gene, ITS2". The stretch from base 128 to 281 matches the Rfam family "5.8S ribosomal RNA". The record is from RNAcentral. Lineage: Eukaryota; Fungi; Ascomycota; Sordariomycetes; Hypocreales; Nectriaceae.
CCUGUGAACAUACCUUACUGUUGCCUCGGCGGAUCAGCCCGCUCCCGGUAAAACGGGACGGCCCGCCAGAGGACCCCUAAACUCUGUUUCUAUAUGUAACUUCUGAGUAAAACCAUAAAUAAAUCAAAACUUUCAACAACGGAUCUCUUGGUUCUGGCAUCGAUGAAGAACGCAGCAAAAUGCGAUAAGUAAUGUGAAUUGCAGAAUUCAGUGAAUCAUCGAAUCUUUGAACGCACAUUGCGCCCGCCAGUAUUCUGGCGGGCAUGCCUGUUCGAGCGUCAUUUCAACCCUCAAGCCCUCGGGUUUGGUGUUGGGGAUCGGCGAGCCUUUCUGGCAAGCCGGCCCCGAAAUCUAGUGGCGGUCUCGCUGCAGCCUCCAUUGCGUAGUAGUAAAACCCUCGCAACUGGAACGCGGCGCGGCCAAGCCGUUAAACCCCCAACUUCUGAAUGUUGACCUCGGAUCAGGUAGGAAUACCCGCUGAACUUAAGCAUAUCA